CGUCCUAUUAGCUAGUUGGUGAGGUAAUGGCUCACCAAGGCUACGAUGGGUAGGGGUUCUUAGUGGAAGGUCCCCCACACUGGCACUGAGAUACGGGCCAGACUCCUACGGGAGGCAGCAGUAGGGAAUAUUGGUCAAUGGGCGCAAGCCUGAACCAGCCAUGCCGCGUGCAGGAUGAAGGCUCUCUGAGUUGUAAACUGCUUUUGUACAGGAGCAAAAAAAUCCCUGCGGGGGUUCUUGAGAGUACUGUAAGAAUAAGCACCGGCUAAUCCCGUGCCAGCAGCCGCGGUAAUACGGGAGGUGCAAGCGUUAUCCGGUUUUAUUGGGUUUAAAGGGUGCGUAGGCGGCUUAUUAAGUCAGUUGUGAAAUCCUAGUGCUUAACGCUAGAACUGCGAUUGAUACUAUU
RNAcentral lists this ribosomal RNA (406 nucleotides) under Cardinium endosymbiont of Bemisia tabaci. RNAcentral's name for it is "partial 16S ribosomal RNA". It matches the Rfam family "Bacterial small subunit ribosomal RNA", at positions 234 to 637 of the family's 1533-position model. Lineage: Bacteria; Pseudomonadati; Bacteroidota; Cytophagia; Cytophagales; Amoebophilaceae. RNAcentral also lists the same sequence under 1 other name. The record is from RNAcentral.